Molecule: ribosomal RNA, 445 nt
Filed under: uncultured bacterium
Lineage: Bacteria
Description: SSU rRNA
Rfam family: Bacterial small subunit ribosomal RNA
Source: RNAcentral
AGAACGAACGCUGGCGGCAGGCUUAACACAUGCAAGUCGAACGCGUGUAGCAAUACACGAGUGGCGCACGGGUGAGUAACGCGUGGAUAUCUGCCUUUUGGUUCGGAAUAACCCCGGGAAACUGGGGCUAAUACCGGAUGGUUCCUACUGGAUAAAGAUUUAUCGCCAAAAGAUGAGUCCGCGUCCGAUUAGCUAGUUGGUGGGGUAAUGGCCUACCAAGGCGACGAUCGGUAGCUGGUCUGAGAGGACGAUCAGCCACACUGGGACUGAGACACGGCCCAGACUCCUACGGGAGGCAGCAGUGGGGAAUAUUGGACAAUGGGGGCAACCCUGAUCCAGCCAUGCCGCGUGAGUGAUGAAGGCCUUCGGGUUGUAAAGCUCUUUUGGCGGGACGAUGAUGACGGUACCCGCAGAUAAGCCCGGCUAACUUCGCGCCAGCAGCCGC